Molecule: ribosomal RNA, 253 nt
Filed under: uncultured bacterium
Lineage: Bacteria
Description: partial 16S ribosomal RNA
Rfam family: Bacterial small subunit ribosomal RNA
Source: RNAcentral
UACGUAGGUGGCAAGCGUUGUCCGGAUUUACUGGGUGUAAAGGGCGUGUAGCCGGGCUGACAAGUCAGAUGUGAAAUCCGGGGGCUCAACCCCCGAACUGCAUUUGAAACUGUUGGUCUUGAGUAUCGGAGAGGCAGGCGGAAUUCCUAGUGUAGCGGUGAAAUGCGUAGAUAUUAGGAGGAACACCAGUGGCGAAGGCGGCCUGCUGGACUGCAACUGACGUUGAGGCCCGAAAGCGUGGGGAGCAAACAGG